GCGGACGUAGCUCAAUGGCAGAGCCUCUGCCUUCCAAGCAGAUAAUGCGGGUUCGAUUCCCGUCGUCCGCUCCG
This 74-nucleotide transfer RNA is filed under the name Jatrophihabitans sp. RNAcentral describes it as "tRNA-Gly". It matches the Rfam family "tRNA". From Rfam's summary of the family: Transfer RNA (tRNA) molecules are approximately 80 nucleotides in length. Their secondary structure includes four short double-helical elements and three loops (D, anti-codon, and T loops). The record is from RNAcentral. Lineage: Bacteria; Bacillati; Actinomycetota; Actinomycetes; Jatrophihabitantales; Jatrophihabitantaceae.